Molecule: transfer RNA, 73 nt
Filed under: Gaeumannomyces tritici R3-111a-1
Lineage: Eukaryota; Fungi; Ascomycota; Sordariomycetes; Magnaporthales; Magnaporthaceae
Description: tRNA-Gln (CTG) (tRNA-Gln-CTG-3-1)
Rfam family: tRNA
About the family: Transfer RNA (tRNA) molecules are approximately 80 nucleotides in length.
Source: RNAcentral
GGUCGUAUAGUGUAGUUGGUUAUCACACCAGGUUCUGAUCCUGGUGGCCUGGGUUCGAAUCCCAGUAGGACCU